CGGUCGAGUGAAGCGGCAACAGCUCAAAUUUGAAAUCUGGCCCCCAGGGUCCGAGUUGUAAUUUGUAGAGGAUGCUUUUGGCGAGGUGCCUUCCGAGUUCCCUGGAACGGGACGCCAUAGAGGGUGAGAGCCCCGUCUGGUUGGACACCGAGCCUCUGUAAAGCUCCUUCGACGAGUCGAGUAGUUUGGGAAUGCUGCUCUAAAUGGGAGGUAUAUGUCUUCUAAAGCUAAAUACCGGCCAGAGACCGAUAGCGCACAAGUAGAGUGAUCGAAAGAUGAAAAGCACUUUGAAAAGAGGGUUAAAUAGUACGUGAAAUUGUUGAAAGGGAAGCACUUGUGACCAGACUUGGGCCCGGUUGAUCAUCCAGCGUUCUCGCUGGUGCACUCUGCCGGCCCAGGCCAGCAUCAGUUCGUGCCGGGGGACAAAGGCUUCGGGAAUGUGGCUCCUCCGGGAGUGUUAUAGCCCGUUGCAUAAUACCCUGGCGCGGACUGAGGUUCGCGCUCCGCAAGGAUGCUGGCGUAAUGGUCAUCAGUGACCCGUCUUGAAACACGGACCAAGGAGUCGUCUUCGUAUGCGAGUGUUCGGGUGUCAAACCCCUACGCGUAAUGAAAGUGAACGCAGGUGAGAGCUUCGGCGCAUCAUCGACCGAUCCUGAUGUUCUCGGAUGGAUUUGAGUAAGAGCAUACGGGGCCGGACCCGAAAGAAGGUGAACUAUGCCUGUAUAGGGUGAAGCCAGAGGAAACUCUGGUGGAGGCUCGCAGCGGUUCUGACGUGCAAAUCGAUCGUCAAAUAUGGGCAUGGGGGCGAAAGACUAAUCGAACCUUCUAGUAGCUGG
This 836-nucleotide ribosomal RNA is filed under the name Niesslia stellenboschiana. RNAcentral's name for it is "partial 28S ribosomal RNA". It matches the Rfam family "Eukaryotic large subunit ribosomal RNA", at positions 87 to 954 of the family's 3401-position model. The record is from RNAcentral. Lineage: Eukaryota; Fungi; Ascomycota; Sordariomycetes; Hypocreales; Niessliaceae.